GGGGUUGUAACUCAAUUGGUAGAGUGCCUGCUUUGCAAGCAGGAAGUUAGGGGUUCGAGUCCCCUCUACUCCA
Molecule: transfer RNA, 73 nt
Filed under: Romeriopsis navalis LEGE 11480
Lineage: Bacteria; Bacillati; Cyanobacteriota; Cyanophyceae; Leptolyngbyales; Leptolyngbyaceae
Rfam family: tRNA
About the family: Transfer RNA (tRNA) molecules are approximately 80 nucleotides in length. Their secondary structure includes four short double-helical elements and three loops (D, anti-codon, and T loops). Further hydrogen bonds mediate the characteristic L-shaped molecular structure. tRNAs have two regions of fundamental functional importance: the anti-codon, which is responsible for specific mRNA codon recognition, and the 3' end, to which the tRNAs corresponding amino acid is attached (by aminoacyl-tRNA synthetases). tRNAs cope with the degeneracy of the genetic code in two manners: having more than one tRNA (with a specific anti-codon) for a particular amino acid; and 'wobble' base-pairing, i.e. permitting non-standard base-pairing at the 3rd anti-codon position.
Source: Rfam by way of RNAcentral